RNAcentral lists this ribosomal RNA (392 nucleotides) under uncultured bacterium. Its description in RNAcentral is "partial 16S ribosomal RNA". It matches the Rfam family "Bacterial small subunit ribosomal RNA", at positions 523 to 918 of the family's 1533-position model. The record is from RNAcentral.
CUACGGAGGAUCCGAGCGUUAUCCGGAUUUAUUGGGUUUAAAGGGUGCGCAGGCGGCCAUUUAAGUCAGCGGUUAAAUCGUGGGGCUCAACCCCAUUCUGCCGUUGAUACUGGGUGGCUUGAUUGCGGUCGAGGUUGGCGGAAUUCGUUGUGUAGCGGGGAAAUGCAUAGAUAUGACGAAGAACACCGAUUGCGUAGGAAGCUGACCAGACCGAAAAUGACGCUCAUGCACGAAAGUGCGGGGAUCGAACAGGAUUAGAUACCCUGGUAGUCCGCACUGUAAACGAUGAAUACUUGUUUUCGGCGAUAUAAUGUCGGAGGCAAAGCGAAAGCGAUAAGUAUGCCACCUGGGGAGUACGCCGGCAACGGUGAAACUCAAAGGAAUUGACGGGG